UGGGGAAUCUUAGACAAUGGGGGCAACCCUGAUCUAGCCAUGCCGCGUGAGUGAUGAAGGCCUUAGGGUUGUAAAGAUCUUUCAGCUGGGAAGAUAAUGACGGUACCAGCAGAAGAAGCCCCGGCUAACUCCGUGCCAGCAGCCGCGGUAAUACGGAGGGGGCUAGCGUUGUUCGGAAUUACUGGGCGUAAAGCGCACGUAGGCGGACCAGAAAGUUGGGGGUGAAAUCCCGGGGCUCAACCCCGGAACUGCCUUCAAAACUAUUGGUCUGGAGUUCGAGAGAGGUGAGUGGAAUUCCGAGUGUAGAGGUGAAAUUCGUAGAUAUUCGGAGGAACACCAGUGGCGAAGGCGGCUCACUGGCUCGAUACUGACGCUGAGGUGCGAAAGCGUGGGGAGCAAACAGG
Molecule: ribosomal RNA, 404 nt
Filed under: Bacillota bacterium
Lineage: Bacteria; Bacillati; Bacillota
Description: Firmicutes bacterium partial 16S ribosomal RNA
Rfam family: Bacterial small subunit ribosomal RNA
Source: RNAcentral